CGGAUAGAAUCACAUGGAGGGCCGGAUUCGGCCCCCGGGCCGUGACUUUGACACAUGCAUCAGAGAAACUAGUUCAGCUAAAUCGCAUAUUUGUUGCACUGGAGGAGCAAUCAGAAAAUAACAUAAAAACAUCUUUUUUUUUUCCUUUUUCCAAACGUGUUCAUCAUUAAACAUGAUCACUUGUUAGCUAAAAAUAAAAUAGCAAACGGACAAAAAAAUAAACCCAACUUUGUAUUUCUUUUCAUCAUCAGAUGGGAGAUAACCAACACGGGCAUCGGUUGCUUCCUGAAAGCGUCUCUCAACCGUCUGUAACUCUAUGCAGAGAUUGUCUCAGAGUUGCAUAAGCUCGGCUGCCAUACGUUCAAUAUCCACAUCGAGUUCGUCAUUAGUGGAACUCCAGCAGAUCGCCGGAGGAGACGCGGCACAGCGGAGCGUUCCUCAUCAGAACUGAUGGUUUCAUGUUGUUUGAUUACGGUUGAGGUGAAUGACGUCAACGAAACUCGGAGAACCUGGUUGCCGAGGCGACGGUGGCCGAAAACCAUCAGCCGGAAACGGAAAAUCCACAAGAUUUCAGAGCUGUAGACACUUUUAUUAAAACUUUGUAAUAAAUGG
Long non-coding RNA from Oryzias melastigma (Indian medaka), 612 nucleotides. RefSeq lists it as uncharacterized. NCBI's taxonomy places the organism in Eukaryota, Metazoa, Chordata, Actinopteri, Beloniformes, Adrianichthyidae. The transcript has 2 exons. The record is from RefSeq and is a predicted model, not a curated record.